AGAGUUUGAUCCUGGCUCAGAUUGAACGCUGGCGGCAUGCUUUACACAUGCAAGUCGAGCGGCAGCGCGGGGCAACCUGGCGGCGAGCGGCGAACGGGUGAGUAAUAGAUAGGAACGUGUCCGAGAGUGGGGGAUAACUAGCCGAAAGGUUAGCUAAUACCGCAUAUUCUCUGCGGAGGAAAGCGGGGGACCAGUAAUGGCCUCGCGCUCACGGAGUGGCCUAUCUCCGAUUAGCUAGUUGGUGAGGUAAAGGCUUACCAAGGCGACGAUCGGUAGCUGGUCUGAGAGGAUGAUCAGCCACACUGGGACUGAGACACGGCCCAGACUCCUACGGGAGGCAGCAGUGGGGAAUCUUGCGCAAUGCGCGAAAGCGUGACGCAGCAACGCCGCGUGUGCGAUGAAGGCCUUCGGGUUGUAAACCCCUUUCAGGAGGGACGAAGCCUGGCUGGUGAAUAGCCUGUCCAGGUGACGGUACCUCCACAAGAAGCCCCGGCUAACUACGUGCCAGCAGCCGCGGUAAUAC
RNAcentral lists this ribosomal RNA (523 nucleotides) under uncultured bacterium. RNAcentral's name for it is "bacterial SSU rRNA". It matches the Rfam family "Bacterial small subunit ribosomal RNA", at positions 8 to 526 of the family's 1533-position model. The record is from RNAcentral.